GCAGCUCAGUGGGAAAGCACAUAUUCUGCAGGCAGGAGGUCCCAGGUUCAAUCCCUGGCAUCUCCA
Non-coding RNA from Podarcis lilfordi (Lilford's wall lizard), 66 nucleotides. The record is from the annotation of a GenBank genome assembly. NCBI's taxonomy places the organism in Eukaryota, Metazoa, Chordata, Lepidosauria, Squamata, Lacertidae.